GACGAACGCUGGCGGCGUGCUUAACACAUGCAAGUCGAACGAUGAACCAGGGCUUGCCCUGGGGAUUAGUGGCGAACGGGUGAGUAACACGUGGGCAACCUGCCCCAGACACCGGGAUAACCUCUCGAAAGAGUGGCUAAUACCGGAUAUGACCACUUCGGGCAUCCGACGGUGGUGGAAAGGAUUCUGGUCUGGGAUGGGCCCGCGGCCUAUCAGCUAGUUGGUGGGGUAAUGGCCUACCAAGGCGACGACGGGUAGCCGGCCUGAGAGGGCGACCGGCCACACUGGGACUGAGACACGGCCCAGACUCCUACGGGAGGCAGCAGUGGGGAAUAUUGCGCAAUGGGCGAAAGCCUGACGCAGCGACGCCGCGUGAGGGACGAAGGCUUCGGAUUGUAACCUACUUCAGCAGGACGAAGACGAAAGUGACUGUACCUGCAGAAGAAG
RNAcentral lists this ribosomal RNA (447 nucleotides) under uncultured bacterium. RNAcentral's name for it is "bacterial SSU rRNA". It matches the Rfam family "Bacterial small subunit ribosomal RNA", at positions 28 to 490 of the family's 1533-position model. The record is from RNAcentral.